This is a long non-coding RNA of Mustela erminea (ermine), 2315 nucleotides long. RefSeq lists it as uncharacterized. The transcript is spliced from 4 exons. Lineage: Eukaryota; Metazoa; Chordata; Mammalia; Carnivora; Mustelidae. The record is from RefSeq and is a predicted model, not a curated record.
UGGAAUCAGAAGGGGAAAGAAGAGCCAGGCAAGAGGACUAGGUGGAAAAUACCAUAAUUGUCCAUCAUGGAGAUGAUAAAUACCCUAGUAAAGGGGCAGAUAAAGUAUCACUAGAGUUCAGGGGAAGAAGAUAUAACUCCUAGCUGUGGAAAUCGAGAAGACCUUGGAAGACGUGACUUUUGAGCAGAGAAUAUGUAAAAGUCUCCUCCAGUCUGUGACGGUUCCUCAAGCUCUCUUUUCACUUAUAACCCAGACACUGAAGAGUGCUGGGAUCUCAGCUCUGUCAUCACCGCCACCUGUUGUCAUGUCUCCAUUUCCAUCCUGUGUGCAUUCAUGCCUCCCUGCUUCUAUCUGCCCUCACUGGACUGACUCCCUCAUCCUACUUGCCAAGCCUUGCUUGUAAUGUCAUUUAGUAAGUUUUGGAGACCUAAGAUCCGACCAUAAUUAUCUCCUGAGAGACACCUUCUCUGACCUCCCAGGAUUAUCCAUUCGAAACACAUCUUGAAAAAUGAUUUCAAGUAGGCCCCCAGGACAUUCUCCCAUGGUCAUGCGGCCCCUCCUUCACGAGCUCACCCAAAUCUGUGAUAAUAACUUUAUAUGGUGCUCUGUCUGCCGAGUCUGUCUCCCCAUCCAGACUGUCAGCUCCACGAGACCUGCCAAGUUGCAGCAUAUGCUCUUGAACCUCUGGCUGGUUGGCUGCAAGGAGAGGCUCAGAGACGGCUUACAUGGGGAAAAAGGAGGGGAAGCCACUUCUUACCCAUCUUGGACCUUUCCUCUGUGCGACAGACAUUUGCAGAAUGCCCGGACCACACACCCAACAGGGUCUGCUCUGGCUCUGGCCUUUCCCCAGCUGGAGCCCCUUGGCUCCAGACCCUCUCGCCUUGCCCCUUUCUCAGUGAUGGGAUGAUCCUAAGGGUGCAUUGGGAAGGGGAUGUAUUUCACAGGGCCAAGCUUUAGUCUAAAAGGAGCCAUAAUGAGGGCAUUUCAGACCUCUGUCAGCAGAACACCCAUGGGUAUUUGGGGGCUUCAUGCUUGUAAAGGUUUUUUGAGUGACUAAUAGCCAACCGAGGAAAAGUUUUCCUCUCUUAACCAAGUAAAUAAGACCAUUCAUACCACAAGAGGUGGAGGGAAGGGGGGGAGUUUGCACAAAACAUAAAAAAUUGUUGACCCUGGCAAGGUAAGAACAGAAGUAGCAUCACAUCUGUUCAGAUAGCUAAUACUUACUAAGCAGUGCCCACGUACCAGGAUCUAACCUAAGCUCUUGACAUAUGCAAGUUCCUGAACGCUCACCCCCGACCUUAUGAGGUUGGACCUAUUCCUCUCUCCAUUUUGUGGAUGAGGACAUUGAAACCUAAUGCCACACAGCGAGGAAGUACCCAGAUCUGUCCAACUCCAGAUCUGUCCUGAACCUUCACUACCACAAAACAGCUGCUCAGCUGGCUCACUGUGUGAUUGGGGCAAAUUCCUCAACCUCUCUCAGCCUCAGAUUCUUCACCUAUAAAUUGUUCCUUAUUCAAACCACCCUGUGCUAGGUGCUAGAAUUAAUUCUUUAUAAAUGUUAAUUCUUUGCUUGAGCCCUCACGACAGCCCGGGGAGAGAGAAAAUGUGGCAGAAACAAUGCUUUGGGUUCUCCAACCUAUUCCCUCUUCCUGUGCACACAGGAAGGGCACAGCCUCAACCUUGCUUGCAGUCCUGGGCAAAGCAAGACUGUGUGAGCCUCUUGAUUUCUGGGUUCCCUUUCUACAUGCGUAAGACUCAAAAACAGAUUCCAGGAAGGCGUGAGGGAGUUGUUGCUUGGAAGAGAGGUGCCUUCCAAAAGAGAUGGGUUAGGAGAGCUCUGCCCUUUAUCGGAGUUUGUGUGAGUGAGAAAUAAACUCCAACUGGGUUAGGCCACUAAGAUUUUUGGUUUGUUACGUUAAUUACACUGAAUAAAACUGUAUACCUGGGCACCUGGCUGACUCAGUGGGAAGAACAUGCAACUCUUUAUCUCGGGGUCAUGAGUUCAAGCCCCACACCAUGUGUAGAGAUUACUUAAAUAAAUAAAUAAACUUUAAAAAAAAAAAAAAACCCUGUAUACCAGUUAUUAAUUGCCACAGCAAUGCUGCAUAACGGAUCACCCCAACCUUAGUGCCUUAAAACAGCAACCAUUUAUUUAGCUCAUGAUUUCACCGAUGGGCAGUUUGGGCUGAGCCUAGCUAAAGGUUCUUCUGGUCUCAGUUGGGCUUACACAUCCAUCUGUGGUCAGCCGGGGGAUCAGCCGGUGACUGAUGAGCACAGCCACAGCUCAGACAACUCGUUCCUGUUCCAGUGGUCUU